This 483-nucleotide ribosomal RNA is filed under the name uncultured bacterium. Its description in RNAcentral is "partial 16S ribosomal RNA". It matches the Rfam family "Bacterial small subunit ribosomal RNA", at positions 30 to 507 of the family's 1533-position model. The record is from RNAcentral.
UUGAACGCUGGCGACAGGCCUAACACAUGCAAGUCGGGCGGAUGAAGGGAGCUUGCUCCUGGAUUCAGCGGCGGACGGGUGAGUAAUGCCUAGGAAUCUGCCUGGUAGUGGGGGAUAACGUCCGGAAACGGGCGCUAAUACCGCAUACGUCCUGAGGGAGAAAGUGGGGGAUCUUCGGACCUCACGCUAUCAGAUGAGCCUAGGUCGGAUUAGCUAGUUGGUGGGGUAAAGGCCUACCAAGGCGACGAUCCGUAACUGGUCUGAGAGGAUGAUCAGUCACACUGGAACUGAGACACGGUCCAGACUCCUACGGGAGGCAGCAGUGGGGAAUAUUGGACAAUGGGCGAAAGCCUGAUCCAGCCAUGCCGCGUGUGUGAAGAAGGUCUUCGGAUUGUAAAGCACUUUAAGUUGGGAGGAAGGGCAGUAAGUUAAUACCUUGCUGUUUUGACGUUACCAACAGAAUAAGCACCGGCUAACUUCGUG